CAAAAACAUAGCCCUAGAAAUAAUCUAAGGUGUGACCUGCCCAGUGACCUUUAAGUUUAAAGUAGAAAUACUUGAAAUCAGGUUAAAAGGACGCGGUAACCUUGACCGUGAUAAUGUAGCAUAAUCACUCGCCAUUUAAUUGGUGGAUAGUAUGAAUGGUCGAACGAAUAUUCCACUGUCUUAGGAAGAAUUAAAUUAAAUUGAAAUAAUAGUUAAGAUGCUAUUUUAAACUGUAAGACGAAAAGACCCUAUAGAGCUUAACUAUAAUCUUUAUAUCUCUCAAAGAAAAUAGUCUUAUUUUUAUAAAGAUUGGUAGUUUAGUUGGGGCGACUAUCUUCUAAAUAUAACGAAGAUAAGCAAUGUAAUAAUAAUACUUAUUGUAUAAUACAAAUAUUUAACAAUUACUAUAGUAGGCUAUAAUGACCCGUUAAAUCUUCAUAAAAAGUUUAACGAUCAAUUGAUAAAAGCUACCUUAGGGAUAACAGGAUAAUUUUAUCUUAGAGUUCCUAUCGAAGAUAAAGUUUGUCACCUCUAUGUUGAAUUAAGAUAUCCCGGUAAUGCAGCAGUACC
Molecule: ribosomal RNA, 570 nt
Filed under: Clytia gracilis
Lineage: Eukaryota; Metazoa; Cnidaria; Hydrozoa; Leptothecata; Clytiidae
Description: partial large subunit ribosomal RNA
Rfam family: Bacterial large subunit ribosomal RNA
Source: RNAcentral